Molecule: long non-coding RNA, 415 nt
Organism: Oncorhynchus keta (chum salmon)
Lineage: Eukaryota; Metazoa; Chordata; Actinopteri; Salmoniformes; Salmonidae
Exons: 3
Source: RefSeq, a predicted model, not a curated record
GACCUAGGACCCCUAGACAUAAUGAGUCUGGUUACAGACCAUGUAAUUAGGCCUAGGACCCCUAGACAUAAUGAGUCUGGUUACAGACCAUGUAAUUAGGCCUAGGACCCCUAGACAUAAUGAGUCUGGUUACAGACCAUGUAAUUAGACCUAGGACCCCUAGACAUAACGAGUCUGGUUACAGACCAUGUAAUUAGGCCUAGGACCCCUAGACAUAACGAGUCUGGUUACAGACCAUGUAAUUAGACCUAGGACCCCUAGACAUAAUGAGUCUGGUUACAGACCAUGUAAUUAGACCUAGGACCCCUAGACAUAAUGAGUCUGGUUACAGACCAUGUAAUUAGACCUAGGACCCCUAGACAUAACGAGUCUGGUUACAGACCAUGUAAUUAGGCCUAGGACCCCUAGACAUAAC